Molecule: ribosomal RNA, 484 nt
Filed under: uncultured bacterium
Lineage: Bacteria
Description: partial 16S ribosomal RNA
Rfam family: Bacterial small subunit ribosomal RNA
Source: RNAcentral
AUUGAACGCUGGCGGCAGGCCUAACACAUGCAAGUCGAGCGGAUGAAGGGAGCUUGCUCCUGGAUUCAGCGGCGGACGGGUGAGUAAUGCCUAGGAAUCUGCCUGGCAGUGGGGGAUAACGUCCGGAAACGGGCGCUAAUACCGCAUACGUCCUGAGGGAGAAAGUGGGGGAUCUUCGGACCUCACGCUAUCAGAUGAGCCUAGGUCGGAUUAGCUAGUUGGUGGGAUAAAGGCCUACCAAGGCGACGAUCCGUAACUGGUCUGAGAGGAUGAUCAGUCACACUGGAACUGAGACACGGUCCAGACUCCUACGGGAGGCAGCAGUGGGGAAUAUUGGACAAUGGGCGAAAGCCUGAUCCAGCCAUGCCGCGUGUGUGAAGAAGGUCUUCGGAUUGUAAAGCACUUUAAGUUGGGAGGAAGGGCAGUAAGUUAAUACCUUGCUGUUUUGACGUUACCAACAGAAUAAGCACCGGCUAACUUCGUG